GUUGAAAGCAGAACGAGAGUUUUGGAAACUGGCAGUUACUGACCAAGUGCUGACUGUUCUGUGCUGAAUGCUGCAGGGGCUGUGAUUUGGCUUCUUGGGAUGUUUGCUUCCCACGUUGGGGGUCAGAGUUAUACUGUCAUAUAUGAUCUGGCCUUUGUCCAUUUGUAUAUUCAGUCUCAAAAAAACAGUUGGUGCACAAAUUCAUCAGUUAGCUCGUCAUUAAAAAAUAGUCUCUUGGAAAGUUAAACCUUCGAAAGUUAAAAAGAUGAAAAUGGUAAAAAGAUGAAAGAUGCCAAAUAAGUUUUAUAGAUAAAUAUGAAGAAAUUGAAUAAGAAUCUCAAAAUAAAAGUUCCAGCAGUUAAGUAUAUUUACUUGAGAAUAUAUCAUGCAAACUAUGUUUAAGUAGAGUGUCAUUUUUAUUAUCAGCAUAGGAGAAAAGAUGAGUUAUGGAAGGGAUUCUGCUCAUGCUCAGCUAUUUCCUUUACUUAACAUUAAAUCUUGAAUAAAGUAUAAUGUCAAGCUGACUCAUUUACUCCUUCAUUUUAAAAGCUGAAGACUAUUUCCUUGGUUUUUAAAUAAUGAGGUGUAAAGGAGGGGGUGAGGUGUUGAAAAUAACUUCCACUGAGAUUGACAGUAGCAAUUGCUCUUAAUUUUUUUGAGAGUCGUGGGGUCACCCAUCAAAGCAGGAAUGCUAUUUAUGUUCAGAAAUUAAGAAUCUGAAUUUUAUUAGAAAUUUUGACUUUUAUAUACCCUCAAAAAGUAAACUUAGGAAUUUAUUUGAAUUUUUAGCUCUGUUGAGGUAUGAGUAAUAGACAAAAAAUGCACACGUUUUCUAUAUGUGUAUUGAUUAGUUUGGACAUAUGCAUACACCCAUCAUAUCAUCCCCACAACCAAGUGCUGAACACAUCCAUGACCUCCAAAACUUUCCUUCUGAUUUUUGUGUGUUUUUUUAAGCUUAGGAAUUUCAUGAUUUUAACCUAAUGCUCAGAUAAAAGAGGGAGAAGAUGAGGUGUACGUUGUUUCAUUAUGGUACCUUAAGACAUAGACUGUCAACAUACACAUGACUUCUGAAAAGGAACAUUUAUUACUUUCACAAUGAAAUAUUUUCUCCUAUUUCCUUCAAAUAUAUGGCCUUCUUAUUCUACCCCCACCCACUUCCUUUUUGAGUAGGGACUCAGGAGAAAUUUCCAAUGGUACUAACAAACAGGGUCCAAGGGGUGGCUGCCCCUCAAGGUCCAUCCACGUUGUCACAAAUGGCCGGAUCUCAUCAGUUCUUAGGGCCG
This 1283-nucleotide long non-coding RNA is filed under the name Equus caballus (horse). RNAcentral's name for it is "lncRNA (ENSECAG00000052509.1)". Lineage: Eukaryota; Metazoa; Chordata; Mammalia; Perissodactyla; Equidae. The record is from RNAcentral.